ACCUGAAACACUUAAUUGUAUUGUAUAUGCGGAACACACAUUGAGGGAAGACGUGUAUUUUCCCUGGUGGAGUUCAACAGUACCGAGAAAUGCAGAACUAGACGUUCCUAGGGCCUACGUCUCCUUCGCCUCUAAAGACUUUCAACCUCUGGAAGCAUCUCCAAGAAGUGGAAGGUAUUUGUUCCGAGUUUGUUUUGUUUGGAUGCAGCGGUAUCCAAGGAGAAAAGAAGAGAGGAGAUGUAGAAGAGGCAGGACAGGACCCAUCCUCCCCUCUCUGCCCAUAUAUAAGGGACUGGUUUUGAGGCUGUGAGGACAGAAACUCAGAUGGUAAGGAUAUUCUUGAAGCCUUGGUGAAAACACCGACAAACACGUGCAGGAAUCGCUGCAGAGUCAUCAGAUAAGAAGUACCUCAGGG
Long non-coding RNA from Callorhinus ursinus (northern fur seal), 415 nucleotides. RefSeq lists it as uncharacterized. Lineage: Eukaryota; Metazoa; Chordata; Mammalia; Carnivora; Otariidae. The record is from RefSeq and is a predicted model, not a curated record.